This 824-nucleotide ribosomal RNA is filed under the name Arthrobacter sp. RNAcentral's name for it is "bacterial SSU rRNA". It matches the Rfam family "Bacterial small subunit ribosomal RNA", at positions 58 to 889 of the family's 1533-position model. Lineage: Bacteria; Bacillati; Actinomycetota; Actinomycetes; Micrococcales; Micrococcaceae. The record is from RNAcentral.
CAAAAACCGAAUGGAUUCCCAGCUUGCUGGGGGAUUAGUGGCGAACGGGUGAGUAACACGUGAGUAACCUGCCCUUAACUCUGGGAUAAGCCUGGGAAACUGGGUCUAAUACCGGAUAUGACUCCUCAUCGCAUGGUGGGGGGUGGAAAGCUUUUUGUGGUUUUGGAUGGACUCGCGGCCUAUCAGCUUGUUGGUGAGGUAAUGGCUCACCAAGGCGACGACGGGUAGCCGGCCUGAGAGGGUGACCGGCCACACUGGGACUGAGACACGGCCCAGACUCCUACGGGAGGCAGCAGUGGGGAAUAUUGCACAAUGGGCGGAAGCCUGAUGCAGCGACGCCGCGUGAGGGAUGACGGCCUUCGGGUUGUAAACCUCUUUCAGUAGGGAAGAAGCGAAAGUGACGGUACCUGCAGAAGAAGCGCCGGCUAACUACGUGCCAGCAGCCGCGGUAAUACGUAGGGCGCAAGCGUUAUCCGGAAUUAUUGGGCGUAAAGAGCUCGUAGGCGGUUUGUCGCGUCUGCUGUGAAAGACCGGGGCUCAACUCCGGUUCUGCAGUGGGUACGGGCAGACUAGAGUGAUGUAGGGGAGACUGGAAUUCCUGGUGUAGCGGUGAAAUGCGCAGAUAUCAGGAGGAACACCGAUGGCGAAGGCAGGUCUCUGGGCAUUAACUGACGCUGAGGAGCGAAAGCAUGGGGAGCGAACAGGAUUAGAUACCCUGGUAGUCCAUGCCGUAAACGUUGGGCACUAGGUGUGGGGGGACAUUCCACGUUUUUCCGCGCCCGUAGCUAACGCAUUAAGUGCCCCGCCUGGGGGAGUACGGCCGC